GACGAACGCUGGCGGCGUGCUUAACACAUGCAAGUCGAACGGACAGGCCCUGCUUUUGUGGGGUGCUCGUGUGGCGAACGGGUGAGUAACACGUGAGUAACCUGCCCUUGACUUUGGGAUAACUUCAGGAAACUGGGGCUAAUACCGGAUAGGAGCUCCUGCUGCAUGGUGGGGGUUGGAAAGUUCCGGCGGUUGGGGCUGGACUCGCGGCUUAUCAGCUUGUUGGGGGGGUAGGGGCUUACCAAGGGUUCGACGGAUAGCCGGCCUGAGAGGGUGGACGGCGACAUGGGGACUGAGGUACGGCCCAGACUCCAACGGGAGGCAGCAGUGGGGAAUAUUGCACAGUGGGCGGAAGCCUGAUGCAGCAACGCCGCGUGCGGGAUGACGGCCUUCGGGUUGUAAACCGCUUUCGCCUGUGACGAAGCGUGAGUGACGGUAAUGAGUAAAGAAGCACCGGCUAACUACGUG
Molecule: ribosomal RNA, 468 nt
Filed under: uncultured bacterium
Lineage: Bacteria
Description: partial 16S ribosomal RNA
Rfam family: Bacterial small subunit ribosomal RNA
Source: RNAcentral